RNAcentral lists this unclassified non-coding RNA (323 nucleotides) under uncultured fungus. RNAcentral's name for it is "sequence contains ITS2". The record is from RNAcentral. Lineage: Eukaryota; Fungi.
AACGCACCUUGCGCUCCUUGGUAUUCCUUGGAGCAUGCCUGUUUGAGUAUCAUGAAAUCUUCAAAAUCAAGCUUUUUGUUAAUUCAAUUGGUCUGAUUUUGGUAUUGGAGGUCUUUGCAGCUUCACACCUGCUCCUCUUUGUGUAUUAGCUGGAUCUCAGUGUUAUGCUUGGUUCCACUCAGCGUGAUAAAUUAUCUAUCGCUGAGGACACUGUAAAAAGUGGCCAAGGUAAAUGCAGAUGAACCGCUUCUAAUAGUCCAUUGACUUGGACACUAUUAUUAUGAUCUGAUCUCAAAUCAGGUAGGACUACCCGCUGAACUUAA